This 912-nucleotide ribosomal RNA is filed under the name uncultured archaeon. RNAcentral describes it as "bacterial SSU rRNA". It matches the Rfam family "Archaeal small subunit ribosomal RNA", at positions 4 to 922 of the family's 1478-position model. The record is from RNAcentral.
CCGGUUGAUCCUGCCGGAGGCUACCGCUAUUGGAGUUCGAUUAAGCCAUGCGAGUCGAGAGUCUUAGGGACUCGGCGUACCGCUCAGUAACACGUGGGUAACCUGCCCUAUGCUGGGGAAUAACCUCGGGAAACUGAGAAUAAUGCCCCAUAGUUCACUACGCCUGGAACGGUGAGUGGAUGAAAGCUCCGGCGGCAUAGGAUGGGCCUGCGGCGUAUCAGGUCGUAGGGGGUGUAACGUACCCUCUAGCCAUCGACGCGUACGGGUGUUGGGAGACAUAGCCCGGAGAUGGAUUCUGAGACACGAAUCCAGACCCUACGGGGUGCAGCAGGCGCGAAAACUUGGCAAUGCGAGAAAUCGUGACCAGGGAACUCCAAGUGGCUGGGGUAAGACCCAGUCUUUUCUUGACUCUUCAAAGGUCUUGGAAUAAGAGGUGGGUAAGGACGGUGCCAGCCGCCGCGGUAAUACCGGCGCCUCAAGUGGUAGUCGAUUUUAUUGGGCCUAAAACGUCCGUAGCCUGUUUGGUACAUUCGUGGGUAAAUCAACCAGCUCAACUGGUUGAAUUCUGCGAGCACGGCCAGACUUGGGACCGGGAGAGGUGUGGGGUACGCUCAGGGUAGGGGUAAAAUCCUGUCAUCCUGAGCGGACCACCUGUUGCGAAGGCGCCACACUAGAACGGAUCCGACGGUCAGGGACGAAGCCUAGGGGCACGAACCGGAUUAGAUACCCGGGUAGUCCUAGGUGUAAACGCUGUGGACUUGGUGUUGGGGAUUCUCCGAGGAUUCUCAGUGCCGAAGCGAAGGUGAUAAGUCCACUGCCUGGGGAGUACGGUCGCAAGGCUGAAACUUAAAGGAAUUGGCGGGGGAGCACCGCAACCUGAGGAUUGUGCGGUUUAAUUGGAUCAACGCCGGG